This 301-nucleotide ribosomal RNA is filed under the name uncultured bacterium. Its description in RNAcentral is "partial 16S ribosomal RNA". It matches the Rfam family "Bacterial small subunit ribosomal RNA", at positions 509 to 809 of the family's 1533-position model. The record is from RNAcentral.
CAGUCGCCACGGUAAUACGGAGGAUCCAAGCGUUAUCCGGAUUUAUUGGGUUUAAAGGGUGCGUAGGUGGCCUGUUAAGUCAGGGGUGAAAGACGGUAGCUUAACUAUCGCAGUGCCCUUGAUACUGAUGGGCUUGAAUGAACUAGAGGUAGGCGGAAUGUGACAAGUAGCGGUGAAAUGCAUAGAUAUGUCACAGAACACCAAUUGCGAAGGCAGCUUACUAUGGUUUUAUUGACACUGAGGCACGACAGCGUGGGGAUCAAACAGGAUUAGAUACCCCUGUAGUCCCUGUCUCUUAUAA